UAGGGGGGAGGGGAAGAUGGGGAGGGGAGAGGACGAGGGCCCCGCCCCCGAGGACAAUCGGGAUUGGGGGACCAGAGAGCCUGUCAGAGGAAGGGUGGGAAGAGGAAGGAGGGAGCGUUGUCAUGGCAACUGGUUCCCGGUUGCAUUGGCUGCCAGGCGGGAGGGUAGAAUAAGGGAGGGGGAGGAGGGACAGAGACCAACAGACCCUUGGAGGGGGGCAGGGUCCACAGUGCGUGGCCCUGACACCCCUGUGACACAACACUGGUGCCCACACGUGUGCUACAUGCUAAGAUGCAGAUAUCAAGCCCACGCAGCCCACACACAGCUGACACAUGUCACAGGAACCUUCACAAGCGCAUCUCAUACAAAAGUGGACAGCCAUCAGCAAACGGAGACACAGACACGUCACACACAAAGACACAGGGACAGACCACACUGAGAAUGCAUAGGCAGUCCAGACUCUGGUUGGUACAGAUUCACCCAGCCACACAGGAAUACCCCAGCAUCACAUGCACGCACACGCACACAACACAGAGCUCCAAACAUAGGGAGGUAUCACAAAGAUCCAUUCAGACCCUUUGGGACAUGAGGAGGCAUGCUGUCAUAAACUGAUAUUCCACACAGACAACAAAGAACACACAGAAAUCACUAACUCGAACACGUAAAGACAGUUGCAUGCCCACAGACACAGGCUGAUCAGUCACAUAUGUGAACAUACAGAAACAACACAUGCAUGUAUGCAGGCACUGGGUAUGCACAUUGCUCACCCUCAGGGACAAAUGUAUAUCACAUACAUGCACACGGGAACACACAGUUCAAACAUGCAAAGCCACAUAGCUUAUGCAAAAACACAGAUACAGAACAGGGAUACAAACAUGUCCUGUGCACACGUAUUACACACAAAGGCACACCACCUAUCUAAACAAACAGCACGAAUGGACACACUCUUUAGACGAGAUUACAAGGACUCCUUAUCCACUGCAGCCUCACACCACAUACACCAACACACAUGGGCACAAAAGAUGCAUAAGCGUAGUUUAUUUUAUAUAUUUAUUCUUAGCAGGAUUUACUCUGCGCCAGGCGUUUCCCAAGAUUUACAGUAUUACCUUCCAAUCAUUUCAACAGUCCCCAAGACAGGCGCUUUUUCAUGCCCAAUGUAUAGGUAAGGAAACUGAGGCACAGAGAGGGGCAGUCACCUGCCCCAUGCACAGAACAGGGGAUUAGCAGAGGUAAGGUUGGAACCUGGCCGUCAGGGACACCGACACAUCAGACAAGACACACACACACACACACACACACACACACACACAUCACGUGCCAGGCUGCAGUCUCGGGGUCCCACCCUACGCGGCGGCACACAGAGCUGCAGACACACCCGGAAGCGCGGACUACCGCCCUCGGCGAGGAUGUCUCCAUGGUCCAAGGAAUACCUGCGACUCGUCCCCUCAGUGAGGCUGGACCGGAGCUGCGCGCGCAGCACUGCUCACUGUGGGCACUGGGAGGAGGGGAAGCCUCACGAGGGGUUCACUGGAAAAACUGAGGCAGGAUCAUCGUGGAAUGGAGGAUCAGAAAGCUACAGAAAGUCCACUCAGAUCCUCCUCUCAUGGACCAAAUAGGCUCCAUCCAGGCGCUUGCUACACCCAGGACAGCUCCAGAGAAGCCACCUUCAGAUGCUCCAUCUCCUGUCACAGACGCUUCUUACUGGACCUGUUCCUUCUGACCUAUCCUCAGAUGGCUCCACAGGCCCUGGACAGCAAGGAGACAGCCAACUCUCCUAAGACUGGACGAACACCCCCAUACCCAUUCCUCUACGUUCCCCAGAGACACGUCGCCCCAAUGUCAGCAUGAAGCAGCCAGAUAUCACGACGACCCUAUUCCUGCUUUGCCAUCAUCUUUUUCUUUUUUUUUUUAAAGAUUUAUUUAUUUAUGUAUAUGAGUACACAGUAUAGCUGUACAGAUAGUUGUGAGCCUUCAUCUGGUUGUUGGGAGUUAACUUUUUUAGGACCUCUGCUCGCUCCCGUCAGCUCGCUCAGCCCGGCUCACUCAGUCCCUGCUCACUCUGGCCCAAAGAUUUAUUUAUUAUUAUAAUUAAGUACACUGUAGCUGUCUUCAGACGCACCAGAAGAGGGC
This is a long non-coding RNA of Mastomys coucha (southern multimammate mouse), 2130 nucleotides long. RefSeq lists it as uncharacterized. The transcript is spliced from 3 exons. The record is from RefSeq and is a predicted model, not a curated record. NCBI's taxonomy places the organism in Eukaryota, Metazoa, Chordata, Mammalia, Rodentia, Muridae.